Molecule: ribosomal RNA, 494 nt
Filed under: uncultured bacterium
Lineage: Bacteria
Description: partial 16S ribosomal RNA
Rfam family: Bacterial small subunit ribosomal RNA
Source: RNAcentral
GACGAACGCUGGCGGCGUGCUUAACACAUGCAAGUCGAACGGUGAAGCGCCUUCCUUUUUGGUGGGUGUGGAUGAGUGGCGAACGGGUGAGUAACACGUGAGUAACCUGCCCCCUUCUUCUGGAUAACCGCAUGAAAGUGUGGCUAAUACGGGAUAUUCUGGGUCUGUCGCAUGAUGAGUCUGGGAAAGAUAUUGUUUCGGUGGGGGAUGGGCUCGCGGCCUAUCAGCUUGUUGGUGGGGUGAUGGCCUACCAAGGCGGUGACGGGUAGCCGGCCUGAGAGGGUGGACGGUCACACUGGGACUGAGACACGGCCCAGACUCUUACGGGAGGCAGCAGUGGGGAAUAUUGCACAAUGGGCGCAAGCCUGAUGCAGCGACGCCGCGUGAGGGAUGGAGGCCUUCGGGUUGUGAACCUCUUUCGCCAGUGAAGCAGGCCUGCCUCGUUUGUGGGUGGGUUGACGGUAGCUGGAUAAGAAGCGCCGGCUAACUACGUG